GAAGUCUUCCACUUAUGACCAGAAUGGAUACAGUCUAGGCAGAAGCAGUGCAGGCUUCCCCACACUGUUGAUGGGGAGACCACUACUUGAGGGGAAAGGGUAGCUAGUUC
This 110-nucleotide small RNA is filed under the name Chelonoidis abingdonii (Abingdon island giant tortoise). Its description in RNAcentral is "TUC338 (ENSCABG00000010737.1)". The record is from RNAcentral. Lineage: Eukaryota; Metazoa; Chordata; Testudines; Testudinidae.